RNAcentral lists this ribosomal RNA (174 nucleotides) under uncultured bacterium. RNAcentral describes it as "partial 16S rRNA". It matches the Rfam family "Bacterial small subunit ribosomal RNA", at positions 338 to 524 of the family's 1533-position model. The record is from RNAcentral.
CCUACGGGAGGCAGCAGUGGGGAAUAUUGCACAAUGGGCGGAAGCCUGAUGCAGCGACGCCGCGUGAGGGAUGACGGCCUUCGGGUUGUAAACCUCUUUCAGCACGGAAGAAGCGAGAGUGACGGUACGUGCAGAAGAAGGGCCGGUUAACUACGUGCCAGCAGCCGCGGUAAU